This 510-nucleotide ribosomal RNA is filed under the name uncultured bacterium. RNAcentral's name for it is "partial 16S ribosomal RNA". It matches the Rfam family "Bacterial small subunit ribosomal RNA", at positions 28 to 507 of the family's 1533-position model. The record is from RNAcentral.
GACGAACGCUGGCGGCGUGCUUAACACAUGCCAGUCGAACGAAGAGCGAUGGAAGCUUGCUUCUAUCAAUCUUAGUGGCGAACGGGUGAGUAACGCGUAAUCAACCUGCCCUUCAGAGGGGGACAACAGUUGGAAACGACUGCUAAUACCGCAUACGAUCUAAUCUCGGCAUCGAGGAUAGAUGAAAGGUGGCCUCUACAUGUAAGCUACCACUGAAGGAGGGGAUUGCGUCUGAUUAGCUAGUUGGAGGGGGAACGGCCCCCCAAGGCGAUGACAAGUAGCCGGUCUGAGAGGAUGAACGGGCACAUUGGGACUGAGACACGGCCCAGACUCCUACGGGAGGCAGCAGUGGGGAAUCUUCCGCAAUGGACGAAAGUCUGACGGCGCAACGCCGCGUGAGUGAUGACGGCCUUCGGGUUGUAAAGCUAUGUUAAUCGGGACGAAAGGCCUUCUUGCGAAUAGUGAGAAGGAUUGACGGUACCGGAAUAGAAAGCCACGGCUAACUACGUG